CCUACGGGGGGCAGCAGUGGGGAAUAUUGGGCAAUGGGCGCAAGCCUGACCCAGCAACGCCGCGUGAAGGAAGAAGGCUUUCGGGUUGUAAACUUCUUUUCUCAGGGACGAAGCAAGUGACGGUACCUGAGGAAUAAGCCACGGCUAACUACGUGCCAGCAGCCGCGGUAAUACGUAGGUGGCAAGCGUUAUCCGGAUUUACUGGGUGUAAAGGGCGUGUAGGCGGGAUUGCAAGUCAGAUGUGAAAUUCCAGGGCUCAACCCUGGACCUGCAUUUGAAACUGUAGUUCUUGAGUGAUGGAGAGGCAGGCGGAAUUCCGUGUGUAGCGGUGAAAUGCGUAGAUAUACGGAGGAACACCAGUGGCGAAGGCGGCCUGCUGGACAUUAACUGACGCUGAGGCGCGAAAGCGUGGGGAGCAAACAGGAUUAGAUACCCCAGUAGUC
RNAcentral lists this ribosomal RNA (443 nucleotides) under uncultured bacterium. Its description in RNAcentral is "partial 16S ribosomal RNA". It matches the Rfam family "Bacterial small subunit ribosomal RNA", at positions 338 to 795 of the family's 1533-position model. The record is from RNAcentral.